This is a long non-coding RNA of Gorilla gorilla gorilla (western lowland gorilla), 707 nucleotides long. RefSeq lists it as uncharacterized. Lineage: Eukaryota; Metazoa; Chordata; Mammalia; Primates; Hominidae. The transcript is spliced from 3 exons. The record is from RefSeq and is a predicted model, not a curated record.
GGUGGCCCCAGGCCAUCCCUGGCUUGCAGAUACGUGGCUCCCAUCUCUGCCUCGGUCUUCACAUGGGGCCUCCCGUCUAUGUCUCUCUGUGUGUCCCGUCCUCUUUUUACAGGGACACCAGUCAUUGGAUAAGGGCUAAUGAUCCUAAUCCAGUGUGAGCUCAUCUUAAUUAAUUACAUCUGCAAAUGCCCCAUCUCCAGUUGCAGAGUCAAACCCAUCCUGGUAUCAACCUGCUUUUAGUACUUCCAGAUUCGUAAGUCAAGAAAUCCUCCUUCCUGCUUGUACCAGUUGGCAGUGGGUUUUCUGGCAUUUGUACCUGCUGCUCUAGGCCCUACUCCAGUACCCACAAAGUCCAGAAGAGGAGUGAGAUGAUUUUUGUUCCCACACACUGAGUGAGAGCUCCAAGGCUGAUUUUGACCGGAUGUUCUCAAUCCAGGGUAAAGUCCUAUGCCUUCCCAAGGUCAUACACUUCAAACUUCCUGCAUCUGGUGAUUGAACCAGGCUAGAGAGGUCUGGCUAUGGUGCACUCUGACAGGCCGUCCUCUCUCCAGGGUCCCUCCAGGUCAGCCGAAGCUUUGUUGGGCCUGUGGUUACAGCUCCUCUUUUCCUUCAGCUUGGCCCUGCUUUCUCCUCCUCCUUUUCACAGCUGUUGCUUCCUAAUGAGUCCCUUGUUCCCCAGACUCCAUAUUAGCACCUGCAUCCAGAGA